CGCACGGGUACCACUUAGGUCUCUUCAGAAUACGGACUGAAUUUAACUUCGCUUGGUUGAUGAUAUGUGUUCAAGUUGUGCGUUAAUGACAACAUACCACACCUGCCUAAUCCUGUAUAGUUACCUCACAUAUCAUUAUUGUGAAGAUAAUGCCAAGCAAUGCCCUGUGGUCUGGCUGUGCUGUGCUGUGCAUCGUGCUGAUCAUUUGCAGAACUUUAAUUAAAGACUGUUGAUUUGGAUUCAUGCCUCCUGUGUUCUGACCGACACACCAGGGCGAACACAACUACCCUAAACCAUUCCAAUACAGUCCUACGCGAACUCAGAAACACCGCAUAUCACAAGAACAAUAUCACAGACUGUGUUUCUGGCUAUUUUUGUGUUUUGAUUUUUUUCUUUUGAAAAUUAAACUAACUGACUGUAAAUUACCUGUAGAUCCCCAGUGCACCACUUUUAAAGCAAAACUCUCAAUAUAAUCUGAAUCCAUUUUUAUCUUCUGUUAAAUAUGAAGACAGCGUAUGGAAGGUUCUGAGCAGCAUCUGUUGCGUCAGUGUUGCUGGGGACGAAUGAUUCACAUGAGCCUGCAAAUGACCGCAACUGCCCUGCAUCUAUCAGAAUGAUCUGAAACAUCCAGAGGCAUCUCUUCACAGACGGCUCAGGGACACGCUGAAAUAAGAUACAGGGAAAUGUCAGAGAACGCUGCUUUAUAAUAAGGUUUUGUGAGGCUGGAAGAGAAAUAAAGACUACGAGACGGUGGUCGUGAGACAUAUUCCCCUGGCUCUCACAGAAGCUCUUUGACAGCUCAGACCAGCAGGCCUGUUCCUGAUGAAUGUGUGACCUUUACAACCCGCUCUGACAUUAGUUGUUGAUUAAGGCUUUUUUGUGCUUCCGGCUUUUGUAAGAUGCCACAUAUAUCUGGUUCUUUGCAUGACUCAAACAUUCUGUCGGUUUGUUUUAACUUUGAGGCCGUCUCUUUGAUAUGGCCGUGGCAUGGGAUACUGCAGAUACUGCAGCCAGUUGCAAAAUAAUGAGGCUUAGAUUUCACAUCGGUGUAAUUUAUGAGACACAACAGCCUUUGGGUGUUUUUUUUCUUUUUUUUUUUUUUUUUUUUUUUUUUUUCACAAA
Long non-coding RNA from Labeo rohita (rohu), 1122 nucleotides. RefSeq lists it as uncharacterized. Lineage: Eukaryota; Metazoa; Chordata; Actinopteri; Cypriniformes; Cyprinidae. The transcript is spliced from 2 exons. The record is from RefSeq and is a predicted model, not a curated record.